Molecule: ribosomal RNA, 342 nt
Filed under: Naganishia vaughanmartiniae
Lineage: Eukaryota; Fungi; Basidiomycota; Tremellomycetes; Filobasidiales; Filobasidiaceae
Description: eukaryotic LSU rRNA
Rfam family: Eukaryotic large subunit ribosomal RNA
Source: RNAcentral
GACCGAUAGCGAACAAGUACCGUGAGGGAAAGAUGAAAAGCACUUUGGAAAGAGAGUUAAACAGUACGUGAAAUUGUUGAAAGGGAAACGAUUGAAGUCAGUCAUGCUCUUUGGAUUAAGCCGUUCUGCGGUGUAUUUCAUUGAGCGGGGUCAACAUCAGUUUUGAUCGCUGGAAAAGGGCAGGAGGAAGGUAGCACUCUCGGGUGAACUUAUAGCCUCUUGUCGUAUACAGUGAUUGGGACUGAGGAACGCAGCAUGCCUUUUGGCCGGGAUUCGUCCACGUACAUGCUUAGGAUGUUGACAUAAUGGCUUUAAACGACCCGUCUUGAAACACGGACCAAG